ACGGAAGGCAGCAGUGAGGAAUAUUGGUCAAUGGGCGGAAGCCUGAACCAGCCAAGUCGCGUGAAGGAUGAAGGUAUUAUGUAUUGUAAACUUCUUUAGACGCAGAGAAAUAAGCGGGACGCGUCCCGCGAUGCUAGUAUGCGUAGAAUAAGGAUCGGCUAACUCCGUGCCAGCAGCCGCGGUAAUACGGAGGAUCCGAGCGUUAUCCGGAUUUAUUGGGUUUAAAGGGUGCGCAGGCGGCUUUCUAAGUCAGUGGUUAAAUAGCGGUGCUCAACGCCGUCCCGCCAUUGAUACUGGAGAGCUUGAUUGCGGUCGAGGUUUGCGGAAUUCGUCGUGUAGCGGUGAAAUGCAUAGAUAUGACGAAGAACACCGAUUGCGUAGGCAGCAGACCAGGCCGUAAAUGACGCUCAUGCACGAAAGUGCGGGGAUCGAACAGGAUUAGAUACCCUGGUA
RNAcentral lists this ribosomal RNA (453 nucleotides) under uncultured Bacteroides sp. Its description in RNAcentral is "partial 16S ribosomal RNA". It matches the Rfam family "Bacterial small subunit ribosomal RNA", at positions 341 to 792 of the family's 1533-position model. Lineage: Bacteria; Pseudomonadati; Bacteroidota; Bacteroidia; Bacteroidales; Bacteroidaceae. The record is from RNAcentral.